Molecule: ribosomal RNA, 468 nt
Filed under: uncultured bacterium
Lineage: Bacteria
Description: partial 16S ribosomal RNA
Rfam family: Bacterial small subunit ribosomal RNA
Source: RNAcentral
GACGAACGCUGGCGGCGUGCUUAACACAUGCAAGUCGAACGGAAAGGCCCUGCUUUUGUGGGGUGCUCGAGUGGCGAACGGGUGAGUAGCACGUGAGUAACCUGCCCUUGACUUUGGUAUAACUUCAGGAAACUGGGGCUAAUACCGGAUAGGAGCUCCUGCUGCAUGGUGGGGGUUGGAAAGUUUCGGCGGUUGGGGAUGGACUCGCGGCUUAUCAGCUUGUUGGUGGGGUAGUGGCUUACCAAGGCUUUGACGGGUAGCCGGCCUGAGAGGGUGACCGGCCACAUUGGGACUGAGAUACGGCACAGACUCCUACGGGAGGCAGCAGUGGGGAAUAGUGCACAAUGGGCGGAAGCCUGAUGCAGCAACGCCGCGUGCGGGAUGACGGCCUUCGGGUUGUAAACCGCUUUCGCCUGUGACGAAGCGUGAGUGACGGUAAUGGGUAAAGAAGCACCGGCUAACUACGUG